This is a non-coding RNA of Xyrichtys novacula (pearly razorfish), 106 nucleotides long. The record is from the annotation of a GenBank genome assembly. NCBI's taxonomy places the organism in Eukaryota, Metazoa, Chordata, Actinopteri, Labriformes, Labridae.
GAUGCAAGCAGUUUUUCUAUUUCUGCUCUUGGUUUGGAUUGAUCUCACUAUGAAGCAGUGAGAUCAAUCCAAACCAAGAGCAGAAAUAGAAAAAAACUGCUUGCAU